GGAAUAUUGCGCAAUGGCCGAAAGGCUGACGCAGCGACGCCGCGUGUGGGAUGACGGCCUUCGGGUUGUAAACCACUGUCAGGAGGGACGAAUACUGGACGGCGAAGAGCCGAGCCAGGGUGACGGUACCUCCAGAGGGAGCACCGGCUCACGCCGGGCCAGCAGCCGCGGUAAUACGGAGGGUGCGAGCGUUGUCCGGAAUCACUGGGCGUAAAGGGCGCGUAGGCGGUUCGUUAAGUCGCUGGUGAAAUCCCGGGGCUCAACUCCGGGGCUGCCGGCGAGACUGGCGGGCUCGAGCACGGUAGAGGCAGAUGGAAUUCCCGGUGUAGCGGUGGAAUGCGUAGAUAUCGGGAAGAACACCAGUGGCGAAGGCGUUCUGCUGGGCCGUUGCUGACGCUGAGGCGCGACAGCGUGGGGAGCA
Molecule: ribosomal RNA, 421 nt
Filed under: uncultured bacterium
Lineage: Bacteria
Description: bacterial SSU rRNA
Rfam family: Bacterial small subunit ribosomal RNA
Source: RNAcentral